Molecule: long non-coding RNA, 2651 nt
Organism: Patiria miniata (bat star)
Lineage: Eukaryota; Metazoa; Echinodermata; Asteroidea; Valvatida; Asterinidae
Exons: 7
Source: RefSeq, a predicted model, not a curated record
AGAAAAUGGAGUCUGGUAGACAUGGAUGAGAGUGGCUGGAUGAAGAAGCUGCAGGUUGAGGAUGCCCUUGCCCUCCCCACCCCACUUCAGCUGGACCUAAGGAGCCGGAGGCAGGGAGGAGGACCAACAGAUGAACGGAUGACCUGCUUGUCGGGCUUCCCAUUACUUAUUUUAAAAAAAACGGAGUCUGGAUGACUCCGGAACAAAGGAGCCGGAAGCAGGAAGGAGGACCAACAGAUGAACGGAUGACCUGCUUGUCGGGCUUCCCAUUCCUGAGUUUGAAAUAAUGAAGCCUGGAUGAUAGUAGCUAGGUGAAGAAGCUUCUGGUUGAGGAUGACCUUGCCCUCCCCAUCCCACUUCAGCUGGAUCUAAGGAGCCGGAAGAAGGAAGGACCAACAGAUGAGCGUUGACUCUGCUUAUUGAACUGCCGUUUGAGAAUUUGUGAGGUAGAUUUACUAAACCAAAAUUAGAGGUCACACAUUGAUGUAAAAAGGAGGACAAUGCCUGGAGCAUUGCCUUCACAGCUACAAUCCUGAAACAAAGUGCAAGAGUUUGUAAAGGACAUGGAUAAGGAAGCACAUUUUACACAAGAACAUAUAAAAAUAAAUGAAAGUCUCUUUUACUUUGUUCCUAGCCAAAUAGGAAUUGUUACUUAUGUGACCUAGUUUGCCUAGGCCGAGAAGCUUUUUUUAUUUUACAGGGUGGAGAUUGUCAUAGGAAACAUCUCAAGCCAUUACUUCAGGAGAAUGAAAGAUGUCUGGCAACCGGAAGCAGGAAACUACUGAUGAGUCUACUUGCUCAACAUGACAUCUGUGAUACAUGAGAUUCGCCAAGAUGUUAGCCAUCAACGACAUAGGAAGAUGGCUUGCCGGCUACCGCUGCCAAGCCCACUACUUACCAGAACAAGAAAUUAAUUAAAACCACCAGCCCCCACCCCUUACCAGAACAAGAAAUUGAUAAAAAUUCACUGCAACAAAUGAAAUUAGAAUAUAAUCCCUGACUUUGGACUAAGUACAUUUUUUAAGGCUAUGGGACACCCCCAUCCUGCCUAGUUGAAUCAGCCUGCCUCAUGCACUAACAAAACGGUGCUCAAACCUUUGAGAAUUCUUUUCAGACAAAAAUCAUCAAGACAUGGAAAUGACACUGUGCUUAUGUUGUUGCUUUUGUUUGCAUGUUCGCAUGAUUUCACUGUUCCAUUUUGGCAUGUGUUGUUCCUGCAUGUUUUAAUAUCAUAUCGCACCUUUUUGAUUUCAAGAAGCAAAAAGAUAACCACAGUGUAUGGCCAUAGUCUGACAAUUAUUACAUUCAAAAAUUCUAACAUAUUAAUCUAAAUUUAAAUAAUUCAAAAUAGUUAAAAUGCCAUCAACAUCACUUCAAUGCGUCAUUAUUUUGAUGGGGGGGGGGGGGGGUCAUCCCGUAGCCUUUGUCUCCCUUUCGCACCUUAUUCUUUGAUGUCACCAAAAAAAAUCUGACAAAAAAAUUAAAAGAAAUGGCCCCCUCCUCAUUCUUGAAACAUUUUUUUCAGGGGAUUGGCUUUUUAGUUGGAAAGCCUCCCUUUUAAAAAUGAAAAACACUUAUUUGUUAAAGCAUUUGAAUAAUUGUCUGCAGUAAGGUUUCUACUAUCGUUUUCCUUAACUUACUAUUGUCUUUCGUAAAUCAAAUGACGAUGUUAACGAAUACAUCUGAGGAAGAAGCCACUGGUUGAGGACGACAUUGCACUCCCCGUCCCAGGAAACCGGAAGCAGGGAGGAGGACCAACAGAUGAACUGAUGAUUCUGCAGUGAGCUAGCCAUUUCUGAUUUUCAAGAAGCGAGGAUGAGUCUUGGAUUGAUGAAGACUUGGAGAUGUUGUUUGUUGAUUUGACACACCCCAACCAUCACAGACGUACCUUAGGACCCAGAAGCAGGGAGGAGUGAGGACCGACAGAUGAACUGAAGACCCUACUUACUGAGCUAGUCAUAUCUGAUUUUCAAGACCUGGAAAGUCUGUCUGUUAACUUGACACCUGAAACCAUCAUCACGGAUGACCGAGGAACCGGAAGCAGGGAGGAAGAACGACAGAAGAACGGAAGACCCUGCUUACUGGGCUCUCCAUUUCUAAUAUUUUAGAAAAUGGAGCCAGUCAUACCUGCAUGAAAGUGGCUAGAUGAAGACGCUUCUGGUUGAGGCUGACUUUGCCCUCCUCAUUCCACUUCUGCUGACGCUAAGGAGGAGGAAGCAGGGAAGAGAACCAACAGAGGACUAUGGACUCUGCUUGCUGAGCUUGCUAGGAAUCCACUACAAACUUAGAAACUUUGACAGUGUCUGACACACUUCUUUAUGGAGUGAAACCCCCAUCGAAGAAUUGGGCAAGAAACUUCAUUAUAAUUGAAAGAAAUAUUUGAACAGUCAAUGACAUUCCUAGAGAUGAGAUGAACAUAAAUGGCAACAUCUGGAACGAACGAAGUCGGAAGGCUGAAAAGGCUUUAUGCCUGAUAUAUUUUAUCGUUGAAUCGUCAAUGACAUUCCAAGAAAAUAUCAUUCAGUAAAGACGAACUGCAACGAACAAAAGUCACACUACUUGGAAUAUUAUCCUGAAGCCUUAAAUUAGGUUUAUCAUAAGUCUACGGUAAAAAUUAAAACACGACUGCUGAUAAAAUGUUAAAUUCCAGG